CAUAGGAAUCCAGGUCCCAUCCUCUCCUCACUCAAGGGAUCCAAGGCUGCCUCUUCCUCUUCCGUAGUGGUGUGGCUUUGCAGAAGUCACUUAAGCUCUCUAAUCCUCCUCCUCAGAGUGCCAGACUGCAGCUGCCACAUGAAGAGAGAGAGGGUCUCCUAUGUUUCCUAGGCCUGUCUUGAACUCCCGGGCUCAAGCGAUUCUCCUGCCUCAGCCUCCCAACAUGCUGGAUCACAGGCAGUGGCCACCUCGCCUGGCCAGUUUUCCCUUUACAAAAACUGGAAUGCUGAGCCGGGCCACAUCAGUCUUGGCUGGACUCACUGCCCACCUCUGGGACCUUGGCGGUGGGGCGGGAAGGAGGACCUCAAAGGCUCAGCGAGUCCACCCCCAGCCCAGCCACCAGCGCCAGCCUCCUCCUCCGCAACACCCAGGCCCUUAUCAGGAAAGGAUUUGGGUUGGUGGGGAGGGGUGGGGGGAAGUUGGAGGCCUCAGGCUCAGCAAGGUGGGUCGGAGAGAUAGGGAAGUGGGGAGGGGGCUGCGGGCCCCUGCUGGGCGGGGGAGGGCAAUGGGAGGGAUGCCCAGAAUGGGCACGGUGGGGGACUUUGGCCAAGCUCUGUCCUCGCUGGCCUGGACCUCAACAUGUUUCCAGGACUUCUGCCUCCCAUCCUUGCCAGGCAAGUUGCCUGCACCUUUAAUUAGCAAGCAGCAGUUUCUCUCCAAUUCAUCACGGUCGCUGUUUAAUUAGCCGAGCCCAGGGCGCCCCCACCCCCAGCUCUGCCUGCCUGUCCUACCAAGGCCACCACCACCUCAGGGUGUCCCCUGUUACCACCCCCCACAAUCAUUCUGCUCCCCAGAGUGGGGGAUGGGCCCGGCACGCCCAGCUGAAACCUCAAGGAGAUUCUGGGCACCGGCGCUUGUAUUCAAGGCAUUCAGCAAACAUGAUUAGGGACCGAGGCUGUGCCAGGCUGGCUCUGGGUAGAACCCCGGCCGGACAUGCGGGGCAGGCUCUGGUCCUGUCCAGCUGCUGGAGAAUGGCUUCUCCCUUGGGAGGCGCUGGCACAUCUCUCUGGCUUGGUCCCUGAGUGCUGGGAGGAGGCUGCAGUACUCCUGUGUGUCACUCCCACCCCACAUCCGGAAAGGGACACCAUGUCUUCCUCUUCCUCUCUCUUCCAGAGCCCAGAAAGCUCCUCUGAGAAUGCUGGACCUCAGGACAGGGGCCCAUGCUCUGCACCCGGCCCUCAGCAGCCAGAUCCUAGAGGCCCAGUCCAAGCUGUGGGCCAAGGGAGCGGGGCGGGCUGAGGCCUGCUUUGUGUCGGCAGGGUCUGGGGAAUUGGGAGCACUGGCGGGAGCCCAUGGUCCGGGGCCGAACCAGCCCCCUUCUGUUUCCCUGAAGAAGGGUGAGGCUGAGGGCCCUCGGAACAGAGCCCCUGUGUCAUUCUGUGCAGGGCCGGGAUAGCCACUAGUCACUGUGGGCAGAAGCAAGAAGCAGAGGCUCAGGCUCCAUCCCAAGCCUGUGCUCCUGCUGGGCUGUGGGAGGUGUGACCCUUCCACUGUUUCGUAGACUGAGAACAUGGAGGGACUGGCAUUUGCUGUGUUACCCUGUGGUGCCAUCAGCGUGUUGUGACAGGGGCAGGAGGAGUGUGCUAGAACCCACCCACUCUGGUACUGCCCAUCUCUGUGGCCUUGGGCCAGCCACCAAACCGUACCAUGCCUUAGUUCCCCUAUGAUUCAUAGCUGCUUCAUGGGCUGAUGUGAGGAUUAAACAGCUUACUAUGUGUUGGGUCUGGUUUUGUUUGGCUUUGUUUUGUUUUUUGAGACAAGGUCUCACUCUGCUGCUCAGGCUGGAGUGCAGUGGUGCAAUCACAGCUCACAGCAGGCUCCACCUCUCAGGCUCAAGCGAUCCUCCCAUCUCAGCCUCCCUGAGUCUCGCUCUUUUGCCCAGGCUGGAUGGAGUGCAGUGGCGUGAUCUCAGCUCGCUGCAACCUCCACCUUCCGGGUUCAAGUGAUUCUCCUAUCUCAGCCUCCUGAGUAGCUGGGAUUACAGACUCCAGCAUAACCUUCUCCAGGAAGCUUUUCCAGAGCCCCCAGGCUAGGAACCUCCCCCCAACCCCUGAACUCAAGCCCCAGCAGCCCGUGCCUGCGCCAUCUCCAUCAGAGCUGCAUCUCUCUGGGUCUCUGGGUAACAAGUGCCAUUUCUUUGUUGUUUUCUGUGUCCCCCAAGGACAAAGCUCAGGCUGGAUUCAUCUCGGAAUUCCCAACACCGGGGUAGAACUGGCUCAUUUCAAUUUCAGUCAAUGUUUGUUGAGGAAAGGAGUGAAGAGUUGGACACAUGAAUGAACGCAUGAAACAGUCCGGAGUGGGGAAGCUGAAGCUCAGGCAUCAGGAUCCGGGAGAAGCAUCCAGUCCAGGCGGACGGGGUGGAAGGUUCAGAGCAGGGGCCCCAAGUCAGGAGUAGGGAGGCAGACGGCAAGACCUCCUUCCAUGAAAGGAGGCUGGGACCAGGGGACCAGGUAGUGCAACGCGGUGAGGGGGCUGUCAGGGCGACUGGCCGGAGGAGUCAGAGGCAGGAGGCACCACCAGGUUACAGACAAGGACCUUCUACAAGAGGGAAACGUGUCAUGGGCUCUGGAGCCCCUGUCCAGGUUCAAAUUGUGACCCUGUGCCAGGGACAGCUUCUUUGUGCCUCAGUUUUUCCCAUAAAAUGAGGAUAAUAAUACUUCAUUCAUGCCUUUUUUUCCCCUCAACAAACAUUUGUUGUAUGUCUGCUGUGGGCCCAGGACAGGAGGCUGAGAAGGAGCUGACCACAGUGGUCACACAGCCAAGCCCUGCUGCUGAGAUCUGACCCCAGUUCGCCUGUCACAAGUUCUAUCUGUGCCUCGUUGUCUGCCUCCUGGGGCUGUUAUGAGGGCUGAAGAAGGGGCAGGCACAGAGGAGACACUUACUAUAUGAUCAUUGUCCUCCUAGAGUAUCAUCACCAUCAGGUGGACUUCAGUGGCCAUCCCAGGCCUCCACGGAUCAACCACAAGAUCUUGGAGAAUGUCCUUACCCUCCAAGCCUCAGUUUACCUUUAGGGUGACCAACCAUCCUGGUUUGUCCAAAACUGAGGGUUUUCCUGGCACAGUCCCAGGCAAACUGGGAUGGUGAGUCACUGAUAUAGUUUGACUCUGUGUCCCCACCAAAUCUCACCUUGAAUUUUAAUAAUCCCUAGGUGUCAAGAGCAGGACCAAGUAGAGAUAAUUGAAUAAUGGUGGCAGUUUCCCCCAUGCUGUUCUCAUGAUAGUGAGUGAGUUCUCACGAGAUCUGAUGGUUUUAUAAGCAGCUUCCCCCUUUGCUCAGUAUCACUCUCCCUCCUGCCGCCCUGUGAAGAGCUGCCUUCCACCAUGAUUGUAAGUUUCCUGAGGCCUCCCCAGCCACGCAGAACUGUGAGUCAAUUAAACCUCUUUUCUUUAUAAAUUA
RNAcentral lists this long non-coding RNA (3456 nucleotides) under Homo sapiens (human). RNAcentral's name for it is "non-protein coding lnc-C20orf203-1:4". The record is from RNAcentral. Lineage: Eukaryota; Metazoa; Chordata; Mammalia; Primates; Hominidae.